This 330-nucleotide ribosomal RNA is filed under the name uncultured eukaryote. RNAcentral's name for it is "partial 18S ribosomal RNA". It matches the Rfam family "Eukaryotic small subunit ribosomal RNA", at positions 1470 to 1796 of the family's 1831-position model. The record is from RNAcentral.
CCCUUAGAUGUUCUGGGCCGCACGCGCGCUACACUGAUGCAUUCAACGAGUCUAAAACCUGCUCUGAUAGGGGUGGGUAAUCUUUUGAAUGUGCAUCGUGAUUGGGAUAGAUGAUUGCAAUUUUUCAUCUUCAACGAGGAAUGCCUAGUAAACGCAAGUCAUCAGCUUGCAUUGAUUACGUCCCUGCCCUUUGUACACACCGCCCGUCGCUACUACCGAUUGGAUGGUUUAGUGAGAUCCUCGGAUUGGUCCCGGAGCGGCCUCUGGUCGUGCCGGAGUGCCGAAAAGAAUGUCGAACUUGAUCAUCUAGAGGAAGUAAAAGUCGUAACA